Molecule: RNA transcript, 2752 nt
Organism: Bubalus bubalis (water buffalo)
Lineage: Eukaryota; Metazoa; Chordata; Mammalia; Artiodactyla; Bovidae
Gene: SFT2D2
Gene name: SFT2 domain containing 2
Exons: 9
Source: RefSeq, a predicted model, not a curated record
CAAGUACCUGGGCGGGGCGCGCUGUGGUUGGCGACGGCUGGGGCAGCACCCGGAAGAACCUGCGACUUAGCCAGCGCAACAGGCGGCUGGAGGGGCAGCCGAGUGGACCCGUCCCGCCAUGGACAAGCUGAAGAAGGUGCUGAGCGGGCAGGACUCUGAGGAUCGGGGCGGCCUGUCUGAGGUUGUUGAGGCAACUUCAUUAAGCUCGGGCACCAGAAUAAAAGGCUUCAUUGCCUGUUUUGCUGCAGGAAUUCUCUGCUCACUUCUGGGAACUCUUUUGCUCUGGGUGCCCAGGAAGGGACUAUAUCUCUUCGCAGUGUUUUAUACCUUUGGUAACAUCGCAUCUCUUGGGAGCACUGUCUUCCUCAUGGGACCAAUGACACAGCUGAAGCGAAUGUUUGAGCCUACGCGUUUGAUUGCAACUGUCUUGGUGCUGUUGUGUUUUACACUUACCCUGUGCUCUGCCUUUUGGUGGCACAACAAAGGGCUUGCUCUCAUCUUCUGCAUUUUGCAGUCUCUGGCCCUGACGUGGUACAGUCUUUCCUACAUACCAUUUGCAAGGGACGCUGUAAAGAAGUGUUUUACCGUGUGUCUUGCAUAACACACAGCCAGUUUUGCAAAGCUCUGGAGAACACCGUGGAUGGAUGUGGGUGGACCAUGUUGUAAAUAUCUUCUAAACCUCUGUCUCACAGACAUGUGCCUUUGAUCUUGCAAGCAACAUGUGGCUUGCAUUUUGAACCUUUGAGGAUUGCUUCUGGAGGCAACUGUGUGUUCCCAAACCCAAAUGUCUGCCGCAUGAUACAAGAAAUGGGUUCUAUAUCUGACAGAGUGGAAUCUUCCUCAUAUACCUUUGAUGGUGUUCCACUGAGUUUUUAUGGGUAAAAACCUUGUUAGCAGCAGCAGAUAAGCCUUGGGAGCCAGUGAUUCCCAGUUGAUGACAAUGGCCCCAUUGGAUACUCAGGUGCAACAGGAAGGGAUAGAGUUUGGGAAUCAAUGGGACUUUGUAGAUUUGUCCCUCAGCGUGUCACGCCUGCCCCAUACAACAUGGAUGUACUUCUACUUUGGUGUCCAGGAACAAGCUGCCAUCCUGACAUUUGAACGUGAGCCUGUGAAGAGCCUGGCUGUGGAAUGAGGUAGAAAAGCACUUUCUGAUGAUGUGUGUUGUUUUUAAACCUGAACAGCUCUCUUCUGAUUCCACACCUGUGAAUGUAUUUUCUUUCCUUUUUUUUUCUUUUAUUGGAGUUUAGUUGCUUUACAGUGUUGGGUGGGAAUGUAUUUUCUAAUGCUCAUUGCAUACUCUUCUUCUUGGGUUUUCAUUUCUUUCUUUCUGCCUCCCCAACGUAUCUUUAUUCUUGACCUCCUGGAACAAGAUUGAAAGAGAACAAAGCUGCGGCAGUAAAUACUAGUGUUUCCUUUUGGACAGGAGCCAGUAGGAGGUGGAAAACCGUGUUGCUCUCUGCUGUGUUCCGCCCCCACCACCAUUAUUUGUAAAUGUUUGCUUUUAAACCGAUUUUAUUUUCCAUUCUCCCCUGGAAUGGGGCCAGGGGAGAGUAGGUGGGAAGACAGAGCCCAAUCAUGGAGCCAGCAGAAAUCAGGCACGCCUACCCAGUGACCUUUAAACAGUCCCAGUGUUUUGCACUGGAGCCUGUGCUGGAAACAGUGGGAGAAGACACCGGGGGCUGCAAAGUGGCCACAUCACAGCCUGAAGCCUGAUCACAGACAGACUGCUUUCGUGUCCCUGAUUUUGUCUAGUACUGCUGGAGCUGAUAAACUGAUGAUGAGCUUGAAAAUAUACACAGCGUUUUCUAUAGAUGGAAUGAACUGAAAGCAGGGAAGAGUAUGUUCACUAGGCAGAAGGAGCACGGCUAUUUGAAGUGAAGGUCAAUCCAUAGCAUUGUAAUAAACGAUCCACAGCAUCAUAGUAACUACUACUACUGAUGUGUAUAUUCAGAACAAUAUCACUACAUUUUUUUAGUGGAGUGUAAUUGCUACAGUGGUCAUUACAUUUAAUAAAUAGCACCAAAAAACAGACAUAGUGUAGGCAAAAAUUCCCUGAUAUAAAUGGCUGCCUAGAUUUAAUAUCAUUGUGGAUCCGUCCGUGGGAGCCAUCCUUUGAGACCAAAUGGAGACUCAAACUGGGCAGAAUGUUGCUUUCUGCCUGUUGAACUUCCAAACUGCAGGAAGAGGUUAGUGCACCUUAAGCACGGAUGAACAUUAUACUUGUUUAGUGUCUUAAAGGAAAAACACAGUUUACAUGCAAUCUUGUGGUCUUAAUGCUAUGAAAAGUGCUUUCUUUGCCUUUUUCAAUAUAUUUGCUUGACUUAGCCACUUUGAACAAGGAAAAACAAUUAAAACCUGAACUAUGAUCUUUUGCUGCUUUGUACAUUCUGAUUGUGCAGUUGAGACGACGGAUUUUUAAAAGCCCCUGGGGAGUUUAUAUGCCUACAGAACAUUGUGCCUGUUCUAAUAUGAUAAGCUUUUAAGACACUUGGUUAAAAAUUCGAUUUUUAUAAUUGUAUAGAUACUCAGCCAAUUCUGAAUGCUGCUGAUGUCAUACCUAAAUUUUUAUGUCAAAAAUAUAUUGUGUGUUGUUUUUCCUACCUUGAGAUCCUAUUUCAUACAAUGAAUAUUGUUUUCUUUUUACUAACUCCUUUCAAAGAGAAAGAAUUUUACUGUUAAGGAAGCUGUUUUUCCCCCAAAUAUCACAAAACUUUUUUUUUUCUCUAAUAAAUGAGAGCAUUAUGAUCUUUAA